GAUGAACGCUGGCGGCGCGCCUAAUACAUGCAAGUCGAGCGAACAGACGAGGAGCUUGCUCCUUCGACGUUAGCGGCGGACGGGUGAGUAACACGUAGGUAACCUACCUAUAAGACUGGGAUAACUUCGGGAAACCGGAGCUAAUACCGGAUAAUAUUUCGAACCGCAUGGUUCGAUAGUGAAAGAUGGCUUUGCUAUCACUUAUAGAUGGACCUGCGCCGUAUUAGCUAGUUGGUAAGGUAACGGCUUACCAAGGCAACGAUACGUAGCCGACCUGAGAGGGUGAUCGGCCACACUGGAACUGAGACACGGUCCAGACUCCUACGGGAGGCAGCAGUAGGGAAUCUUCCGCAAUGGGCGAAAGCCUGACGGAGCAACGCCGCGUGAGUGAUGAAGGUCUUCGGAUCGUAAAACUCUGUUAUUAGGGAAGAACAAACGUGUAAGUAACUGUGCACGUCUUGACGGUACCUAAUCAGAAAGCCACGGCUAACUACGUG
This 497-nucleotide ribosomal RNA is filed under the name uncultured bacterium. RNAcentral describes it as "partial 16S ribosomal RNA". It matches the Rfam family "Bacterial small subunit ribosomal RNA", at positions 28 to 507 of the family's 1533-position model. The record is from RNAcentral.